GGACUACCGGGGUUUCUAAUCCCGUUCGCUCCCCUGGCUUUCGCCCCUCAGCGUCAGAAACGAGCCAGGACACUGCCUUCGCCUUGGUGUUCUUCCGGAUAUCUACGCAUUUCACCACUCCACCCGGAGUUCCAUGUCCCUCUCUCGCUCUCAAGUUUUCCAGUUUUCGAGGGCGUUCACCGGUUAAGCCGUUGAUUGUCGCCUCAAACUUAAAAGACCGCCUGCGGGCGCUUUACGCCCAAUAAUUCCGGACAACGCUCGCCCCCUACGUAUUACCGCGGCUGCUGGCAC
This 291-nucleotide ribosomal RNA is filed under the name uncultured bacterium. RNAcentral describes it as "partial 16S ribosomal RNA". The record is from RNAcentral.